GAGGAGUUGCUGCCUACAUAUCUCAAUGGCUGUAUGGAACAACCACCAAUGACAGACCAAAGAGUAUGGAACAACCUCCAAUGACCGACCAAAGAGUAAUGAACAACCAUCGAAGACCAACCAAAGAGUAUGGAACAACCACCAACGACAGACCAGAUAGUAUUGAACAAACACCAAUGACAGAUCAAAGAAUACGGAACAAUCACCAAUGACAGACCGGAUAGGAUGGAACAGCCACCAAUGACAGACCAAAGAGUAUGGAACAACCACCAAUGACAGGCCAGAAUAUGGAAUCAAAAUCUGACAAAUCACAGCUGAAAUAAUGAACAAAACAGACCAGAGCACAGGAUCACUAAUUACAGACCAAAGUAUGGUAUAACCGCUAGCAUCAGACCAGAGGAGGAGACAGCAAUACUAAAAGGCCCUUAAAAGAUGGAAGCAACAACGAUGACAGAAAGCAAGGAAAGCAAUCACUAGAUGGAACCACAUUUAAGACAGACUAAAGCAUAUGACGACGCAGGACAGACCAAAUAGUAUGGAACAAGCACAAAAUACAGACCAGAAGAUGGAACCAAACUCUACAAAUGCCAUCGCUGAAAUAACAAACAACACAACAGAUAACACGGAAAUAAUGGAAAACGGCCUUUGAAACGAGACUUCAGAAGAUGGAACCAAAACCUUAGAGGAACCGGAACAAAGGACCCAGAGUGAUAGAGCACAUAGUAUGGUGCAACCACCAGCAACAGACAACGGCAUGAAGGACCACAACUUAUGACAACCCAUAACGGAUCUGAAAUAAUGAAACAAGAAACAGAGGGAACCACAACCCAGGCCACGACUACAGAGAAUUCGGACUACAAGUAAUGAUAGAUCUAAGGACAUCGAUCCAAGAAAGACCACAGAGGCUAUGGCAACCAUUCAUGACGGAUAAAGGAAUAGAACUCUCAAUUACUACAGAAAGAAUCUCAUACCAGAGUCUAGUUCCAGUGUUGACAGCAACAAUUCCUUACAAAACAGACAGGAGCUAGUUGGAUGCAACACUGUGGGUGGAAUGUACAUCAUUUGACUGGAUGGAAAAACAUGCCAUAGGCCUGAUUGAUCUAAAACCUGUCGCCCUUCAAACUGAGCUACAUACCGUUAAAGUUCAGGAACGAAUUUCCUCCAAAUCGGAUUGGAUAUUGCAAGUCUAGUGUUUUGAACAUGACUGUAUCCUGUUUUCCCGGUGUCUACAAAAUCUUCACUCGUGCACAAGCAGGCUGCUGAAAAAUAUCUGUAAAUUUGAACCUGUAACCUGGGACGAAGGAAUGUUUCAAUUGGUAUAUGGAGCUGUUCACUGAACUAAAGACAUUUAACCCUAAAGUUAGAAAAAAUAUGUUUUAUUUUUUAUUAUGAUUUAAUCGAAAUGUUGUUAGUCAUUUGAUGAAGGGCUAUAUAAUUUUUUUAGAUGACACCCAAUCAACAGGCCUAGGGAUUAAAGUAAACUUUAGGUUAUUUUUUGGAAAGAACAAUACCUGAAAGUUUAUUGCAAUUUCAAAACAUUCCCGAACAGUAAUAACUAGGAAGUUAUUUUUUACUCUCAUAAAACGUAUCUGUAGAAAAUGCUAAUAAAUGCUGUUAAACUUUUCCAACAUGUCAAUAUCUAUUUUUAAAAUCCAUUUACCUGAUAAAUGAAACAAAUAGUUAAUUUAAUUUAAAGAUUGAAACUACUUCUUUCAGCAAGUCAGUAAAUUAUAUGAAUCCUGUAUUACAACAAUUGUCUAAUCAGAGAAAAAAUGUGUAUCUUUUAUAUUUGAUAGUUUUGUUUAUCACAUAAUAUACCCUGGAGUGUUUUUUCAUUGGCUGUGCCAG
Mizuhopecten yessoensis (Yesso scallop) is the source of this 1848-nucleotide long non-coding RNA. RefSeq lists it as uncharacterized. The transcript has 3 exons. NCBI's taxonomy places the organism in Eukaryota, Metazoa, Mollusca, Bivalvia, Pectinida, Pectinidae. The record is from RefSeq and is a predicted model, not a curated record.